AGUUCAACGGGCAGAAUGGCAGACUUUUAAUCUGUAAGAUGAGGGUUCGAAUCCCUCC
RNAcentral lists this transfer RNA (58 nucleotides) under Acetatifactor sp. Its description in RNAcentral is "tRNA-Lys". It matches the Rfam family "tRNA", at positions 9 to 63 of the family's 71-position model. From Rfam's summary of the family: Transfer RNA (tRNA) molecules are approximately 80 nucleotides in length. Lineage: Bacteria; Bacillati; Bacillota; Clostridia; Lachnospirales; Lachnospiraceae. The record is from RNAcentral.